GGGCUCGACUCCUGUUCCUGCUGAACUGAGCCAGUGUGUACAAGAGAACUGAUAUCAGCUCAGUAGGCACCGGAGGGCGGGUCC
This is a microRNA precursor of Cavia aperea (Brazilian guinea pig), 84 nucleotides long. The record is from Ensembl. Lineage: Eukaryota; Metazoa; Chordata; Mammalia; Rodentia; Caviidae.